UUUCACUUUGCCGCUGGAAAAUCUUUGCAUCACAAUCAAGAUCUUAUUUCUGAUUUGUUGGACGUUCAGCUAGGAAACCAUAAUAUAACCCACAAAAUAAACAAGCUAUCCUUUGGAGAAGAGUUUCCAGGUGUCGCCAACCCACUUGAUGGAGCAAAAUGGACACAUCAUACAUCG
Asparagus officinalis (garden asparagus) is the source of this 177-nucleotide long non-coding RNA. RefSeq lists it as uncharacterized. Lineage: Eukaryota; Viridiplantae; Streptophyta; Magnoliopsida; Asparagales; Asparagaceae. The transcript is spliced from 3 exons. The record is from RefSeq and is a predicted model, not a curated record.